AUUGAACGCUGGCGGCAGGCCUAACACAUGCAAGUCGAACGGUAGCACAGAGAGCUUGCUCUCGGGUGACGAGUGGCGGACGGGUGAGUAAUGUCUGGGAAACUGCCUGAUGGAGGGGGAUAACUACUGGAAACGGUAGCUAAUACCGCAUAACGUCGCAAGACCAAAGAGGGGGACCUUCGGGCCUCUUGCCAUCAGAUGUGCCCAGAUGGGAUUAGCUAGUAGGUGGGGUAACGGCUCACCUAGGCGACGAUCCCUAGCUGGUCUGAGAGGAUGACCAGCCACACUGGAACUGAGACACGGUCCAGACUCCUACGGGAGGCAGCAGUGGGGAAUAUUGCACAAUGGGCGCAAGCCUGAUGCAGCCAUGCCGCGUGUAUGAAGAAGGCCUUCGGGUUGUAAAGUACUUUCAGCGGGGAGGAAGGUGUUGUGGUUAAUAACCGCAGCAAUUGACGUUACCCGCAGAAGAAGCACCGGCUAACUCCGUGCCAGCAGCCGCGGUAAUACGGAGGGUGCAAGCGUUAAUCGGAAUUACUGGGCGUAAAGCGCACGCAGGCGGUCUGUCAAGUCGGAUGUGAAAUCCCCGGGCUCAACCUGGGAACUGCAUUCGAAACUGGCAGGCUAGAGUCUUGUAGAGGGGGGUAGAAUUCCAGGUGUAGCGGUGAAAUGCGUAGAGAUCUGGAGGAAUACCGGUGGCGAAGGCGG
This 705-nucleotide ribosomal RNA is filed under the name uncultured Enterobacterales bacterium. RNAcentral describes it as "bacterial SSU rRNA". It matches the Rfam family "Bacterial small subunit ribosomal RNA", at positions 28 to 724 of the family's 1533-position model. Lineage: Bacteria; Pseudomonadati; Pseudomonadota; Gammaproteobacteria; Enterobacterales. The record is from RNAcentral.